CACGCUAACACUUUUGUAAAAAGCUACCUUUCUUCAAACAAAAACAUUUUUAUAUCAUGUAUAUGUUGCUUCAUUCACUGAAAUGCUGUUUCUUAGGCCACUAUGUGUUCAGUAAUGACGGUAACUAGCUUAUGUAAGCAGAUAACUUCGCUCCAUGCCUGUGGAUUUUCACAUGCACACAACGGCUAAUGGCUCGAUUUGCCAUUAUAUGCAAAAUGAUUCAUCAACGUGCUCAAAGGCAGAUUCUCAGUUUAGCUUGAAGGAAGCAAAAGGAGGAGAGGAAAAGAAGAAGAAAAAAAAUCAGUUUUAAAAGGCAAUACAUAAAGCCUGAAAGAAAAAAAAAUAUGCCACUUAAAAUAACCAAGUUCAUUAUACAAAGGGGAUAAAACUAAGAAAGACUGACCAGAACACACAGAAACCAACUUUUAAUCAACGUUAUCCAAUGUCUUGUGACUCUCUUAGUCUACUCUUAAGCGAUAAAGCUUGAAAAAGCUUUUUACAUCAGAGGUAGAUAAGUUCCUGCUGCUGAUAUGAAGCAUGAAGUCAUCCUUUACCUGAAUGCGGUCAUCCUUUACCUAACUUCAAUACAUCUUAAAAUAUUUAUCAAAACAUGCAAACAAAUGAUUUUUUAAUGAUCCCGAUUAACAAUUCAAAAUUGGGGUGCUAAUUCAUUAGAUUUACACAAAUAUUAUAAUUACUUUAAAUGACAUAAUGGGACUCAGCUAGUCCACAGGGCAACCAGUAGAUAUUUCAUUCUGCUUUUUGCUUCUUCUUUUUUUUUCUUCUUUUUUUUUUAAUGAGAAUUUUAUUUCUGCUUCUUUUGAACAAACGCUGUGAUUUGUUGUAGACGAUGAUGCAUAUUUGAGUCUUGCUACACUGCGAUACCAUUGUUACUGAGGGAAACAAUAACAAUAGAGCAAUAUGAUACAAUCAUGUAGACUUGAUAGUAUCAUAUUCUAUGAGUUACACUCAAAAACUCUUACAGAUAAAAGUCUGACAAUAUUGUAUUGGACUCUGUAGAAAAAAAUUAAAUAAAAUCUAAAAAAAAAUUUUUAGCCAAC
Long non-coding RNA from Astatotilapia calliptera (eastern happy), 1061 nucleotides. NCBI's taxonomy places the organism in Eukaryota, Metazoa, Chordata, Actinopteri, Cichliformes, Cichlidae. The record is from Ensembl.